RNAcentral lists this ribosomal RNA (1098 nucleotides) under Kingella kingae. RNAcentral's name for it is "partial 23S ribosomal RNA". It matches the Rfam family "Bacterial large subunit ribosomal RNA", at positions 912 to 2007 of the family's 2925-position model. Lineage: Bacteria; Pseudomonadati; Pseudomonadota; Betaproteobacteria; Neisseriales; Neisseriaceae. The record is from RNAcentral.
GUUAUGGCUAGGGGGUUAUUGCAACUUACCAACCCAUGGCAAACUAAGAAUACCAUCAAGUUGCUCCUCGGGAGACAGACAUCGGGUGCUAACGUCCGGUGUCAAGAGGGAAACAACCCAGACCGCCAGCUAAGGUCCCAAAUGAUAGAUUAAGUGGUAAACGAAGUGGGAAGGCACAGACAGCCAGGAUGUUGGCUUAGAAGCAGCCAUCAUUUAAAGAAAGCGUAAUAGCUCACUGGUCGAGUCUUCCUGCGCGGAAGAUGUAACGGGGCUCAAAUCUAUAACCGAAGCUGCGGAUAUACUUUUGUAUAUGGUAGGGGAGCGUUCUGUAAGCCUGUGAAGGUGACUUGUAAAGGUUGCUGGAGGUAUCAGAAGUGCGAAUGUUGACAUGAGUAGCGAUAAAGUGGGUGAAAAGCCCGCUCGCCGAAAGCCCAAGGUUUCCUACGCAACGUUCAUCGGCGUAGGGUGAGUCGGCCCCUAAGGCGAGGCAGAAAUGCGUAGUCGAUGGGAAACAGGUUAAUAUUCCUGUACUUUGAUUCAAUGCGAUGUGGGGACGGAGAAGGUUAGGUUAGCAAACUGUUGGAAUAGUUUGUUUAAGCCAGUAGGUGGAAAGAGUAGGCAAAUCCGCUCUUUCUUAACACCGAGACGUGAUGACGAGUGUCUACGGACAUGAAGUGACCAAUACCACGCUUCCAGGAAAAGCCACUAAGCUUCAGUUGAAUCAGAACCGUACCGCAAACCGACACAGGUGGGCAGGAUGAGAAUUCUAAGGCGCUUGAGAGAACUCGGGAGAAGGAACUCGGCAAAUUGAUACCGUAACUUCGGGAGAAGGUAUGCCCUCUAAUGUUAAGGACUUGCUCCGUAAGCAUCUGAGGGUCGCAGAGAAUCGGUGGCUGCGACUGUUUAUUAAAAACACAGCACUCUGCUAACACGAAAGUGGACGUAUAGGGUGUGACGCCUGCCCGGUGCUGGAAGGUUAAUUGAAGAUGUGCAAGCAUCGGAUCGAAGCCCCAGUAAACGGCGGCCGUAACUAUAACGGUCCUAAGGUAGCGAAAUUCCUUGUCGGGUAAGUUCCGACCCGCACGAAUGGCGUAACGA